This 492-nucleotide ribosomal RNA is filed under the name uncultured bacterium. RNAcentral's name for it is "bacterial SSU rRNA". It matches the Rfam family "Bacterial small subunit ribosomal RNA", at positions 17 to 518 of the family's 1533-position model. The record is from RNAcentral.
UUAUGGCUCAGGAUGAACGCUGGCGGCGUGCUUAACACAUGCAAGUCGAACGGGAUAUACUUUUAGCUUGCUAAGUUGUAUAUCUAGUGGCGGACGGGUGAGUAACGCGUGGGUAACCUGCCGUAUGCUGGGGGACAACAGUUGGAAACGACUGCUAAUACCGCAUAAGCGCACGAGAUCGCAUGAUCUUGUGUGAAAAACUCCGGUGGCAUACGAUGGACCCGCGUCUGAUUAGCCAGUUGGCAGGGUAGCGGCCUACCAAAGCGACGAUCAGUAGCCGGCCUGAGAGGGUGAACGGCCACAUUGGGACUGAGACACGGCCCAGACUCCUACGGGAGGCAGCAGUGGGGAAUAUUGCACAAUGGGGGAAACCCUGAUGCAAGCGACGCCGCGUGAGUGAAGAAGUAUUUCGGUAUGUAAAGCUCUAUCAGCAGGAAAGAAAAUGACGGUACCUGACUAAGAAGCCCCGGCUAACUACGUGCCAGCAGCCGC